Molecule: ribosomal RNA, 1309 nt
Filed under: Bacidina arnoldiana
Lineage: Eukaryota; Fungi; Ascomycota; Lecanoromycetes; Lecanorales; Ramalinaceae
Description: SSU rRNA
Rfam family: Eukaryotic small subunit ribosomal RNA
Source: RNAcentral
GUGGUAAUUCUAGAGCUAAUACAUGCUAAAAACCUCGACUUCGGAAGGGGUGUAUUUAUUAGAUAAAAAACCAAUGCCCUUCGGGGCUCCUUGGUGAUUCAUAAUAGCUUAACGAAUCGCAUGGCCUUGCGCCGGCGAUGGUUCAUUCAAAUUUCUGCCCUAUCAACUUUCGAAGUGAGGGUAGUGGCCUCACUUGGUGUCUACGGGUAACGUCCCCCGUUGCUCGUCUUCACACGCCGGACCCCGGUCCGGCAACAUCACUGGUUCAGAGGAUGGUCCCCCCGGGACCGCAACUCUGAGGGGCUUCGACCCCGUAACGCAUGUCAAGUGAUGGGCCUUGAUCGCAAGGCUUUCGGUACAUGCUGACCGCCCAGCACGCGCUGGCGUGGAGAUAUGAACGGGGAAUUAGGGUUCUAUUCCGGAGAGGGAGCCUGAGAAACGGCUACCACAUCCAAGGAAGGCAGCAGGCGCGCAAAUUACCCAAUCCUAAUUCAGGGAGGUAGUGACAAUAAAUACUGAUGAUGAGCUCCUUUGGGUUUAUCAAUUGGAAUGAGUACAAUUUAAAUACCUUAACGAGGAACAAUUGGAGGGCAAGUCUGGUGCCAGCAGCUGCGGUAAUUCCAGCUCCAAUAGCGUAUAUUAAAGUUGUUGCAGUUAAAAAGCUCGUAGUUGAAACUUGGGUCUGGCUGACCGGUCCGCCUAACCGCGUGAACUGGCUCGGCCGGGCCUUUCCUUCUGGUUAGCCUCAUGCCCUUCAUUGGGUGUGCAGGUGAACCAGGACUUUUACUUUGAAAAAAUUAGAGUGUUCAAAGCAGGCCUAUGCUCGAAUACAUUAGCAUGGAAUAAUAGAAUAGGACGUGCGGUUCUAUUUUGUUGGUUUCUAGGACCGCCGUAAUGAUUAAAAGGAACAGUCGGGGAGAUCUGCAUUUUCAAGUCAGAGGUGAAAUUCUUGGAUUUUGAAAAGACAAACUACUGCGAAAGCAUUUCUCAAGGAUGUUUUCAUUAAUCAGUGAACGAAAGUUAGGGGAUCGAAGACGAUCAGAUACCGUCGUAGUCUUAACCAUAAACUAUGCCGACUAGGGAUCGGACGGUGUUAUGAUUUUGACCCGUUCGGCACCUUACGAGAAAUCAAAGUUUUUGGGUUCUGGGGGGAGUAUGGUCGCAAGGCUGAAACUUAAAGAUAUUGACGGAAGGGCACCACCAGGCGUGGAGCCUGCGGCUUAAUUUGACUCAACACGGGAAAACUCACCAGGUCAGGACAAAAUAAGGAUUGACAGAUUGAAAGCUCUUUCUUGAUUUUUUGGGUGGU